Molecule: ribosomal RNA, 468 nt
Filed under: uncultured bacterium
Lineage: Bacteria
Description: partial 16S ribosomal RNA
Rfam family: Bacterial small subunit ribosomal RNA
Source: RNAcentral
GACGAACGCUGGCGGCGUGCUUAACACAUGCAAGUCGAACGGAAAGGCCCUGCUUUUGUGGGGUGCUCGAGUGGCGAACGGGUGAGUAACACGUGAGUAACCUGCCCUUGACUUUGGGAUAACUUCAGGAAACUGGGGCUAAUACCGGAUAGGAGCUCCUUCUGCAUGGUGGGGGUUGGAAAGUUUCGGCGGUUGGGGAUGGACUCGCGGCUUAUCAGCUUGUUGGUGGGGUAGUGGCUUACCAAGGAUUUGACGGGUAGCCGGCCUGGGAGGGUGACCGGCAACAUUGGGAUGGAGAUACGGCCCAGAUUCCUCCGGGAGGAAGAAGUGGGGAAUAUUGCAAAAUGGGCGGAAGCCUGAUGAAGCAACGCCGCGUGCGGGAUGACGGCCUUCGGGUUGUAACCCGUUUUAGCCUGUGACGAAGCGUGAGUGACGGUAAUGGGUAAAGAAGCACCGGCUAACUACGUG